CGGGCCACGGCGCUCGCGCCCAGCACCUCCCUCGGCUCCUACUCGUCGUCGUCGCCGAGGCCGUCCAGGUCGUCGCGGCUGCGGCGGGGGCGGCGGCGGUGCGGGCGGAGGCGGCGGAGGCGGUACGGCGUUUCGAAGGCCGAAAGAAGAGGAGGGCGGCGCCCCCGAGCAGCGGCGCCCGCCUCCUGCUCCCCUGCCUAAACCCCUCCCCUGCCUCCUCCCUCCGCACGUGUCCCUUCACUAUAUGAGCUGUCGAGGCGGAGGCGAAAGGAAAAGAAGGGGCGAAACGGGAAAGAAAAAAGAGGGGAGGGAGGGAGCGGCCAAAAUAGGAGAAUAGGGGAAGCAUAUAACAUGAGGAGGACGACGGUAACAAAAUAGGAAAAGGCGAAAAACAGCGGCGUUUCGCGCUUCGAAAGAGCGAGCGCGAGAGGGCCGAGCUGUCGCGCCGCGCCGGCGCAGCAGCCUACGCGGUGCACGACGGCCGGCAGGUGGCCCGGCAGAGCGCGCCCCGCGCCCGCCGCCGCUACCCCAGCAGCCGCCCCCGCCCCCGCUCCCUGGGCCCGCCCUUGGGCUGCCACCCCUCCGACGCCCUCUAGAAGGCCCCGCCGCCGCUGCGCCGUCUACCGACCCUCUUCAGGACCCUCUGACCGCAUUGGGGCACCCUAGACCCCUUCGGCUGCGGAUAGUAGCUCGUAGAGCAAUUUAGUCCUUGAGAGGGAUUUCCUUCCCGCAACCAGGGCCCUACACCGUACCCAAUACUACACCAACGAAACCGUUCGGGACUCUCUAAACAGCAACCGAAUCUCUAAAGAUUAUAUCGACGACUCUUCCGAUUCGUCCACUCUACAUUGACUCAUUCUCGAACUAACCGUCGAUUCCACUCGAAUAUUGUGUUACAAUCAACGAAGAAAAUUACAAAAAAACCAGUUAAAAAGAGACGUCUUACUACUUAACAGUACAUUUGUACGAACUAUGGAAUAGAUCUUUUUUCUUAAUAAAGGUUUCACCAAGUCCAGGUAAAACACGACCCUUUCUAAUUGGCACAAAGAACCUUCGUUUUCGAAUAUACGCCUCGUACCAACACAAACUAAAUACAGUGCCCCGUUUGAUAGAAGUUUUAUCCUUUUCCUUUGGUGCACACUUCGAUUAAUGUCGUCCGUUGGUAUAUAGAAGAUUUUACUACUGACCGAUUCCUACGAUGGAGAUUAAAAAUGUAAAAAUGUAAACAUGAGUACUUAAGAUUUAAAGAUUACGUUAUAACUAAUCCUACGGUUGACUUGAGUCGAGAACCAUAAACCUAACUUAACCACAAAAGUAUUCAUUAUUAGUAUUGGCCCUUAUUUAUAUUACAUGAUAAUGGUAAAUAGACUUUUUUGUAGAACAAUAGGAUCCAUGGGAAACACCACGAUUUUGAAUAUAUGUAAAUUAGCAAAAGGGACAACUACAUGGUCACCAGUAGUAGAAACGGUUUACGUCUAACCAAAUGAAAAGACCAACGACUAAAGAAGUUCACCUCUGGUUCACUUGGUAAACUGGAGUAAAAGCUAAUAUGCAAGAAAACACGUGAACUAGGCUCGUACUCCGACCGAACCCGUCUCUGUCAAUCAGCGGAAGACUUUGGUCUACCUCUCGAAUAGUGGAACUAUAUAAACUAGUCGCUAGUUCUUCCCCCCGGCGGGAUGUUAUUAUGUCAACGACUGAUAGUCUUCCACGACCUCGGCGACCCAAAGUUCCGACAAACAUACCUUCUGUUGCUCGAGCGAUAAUUUGGCGCGUUCCCACAGCUCUUUGAACCUUCCACCUUCUCUACGCCGUCCGGCGUUAGAAGAAACACUCGUAUAUACUUCCGGAACGACAUAUCAAACAUAUGUGACACAUAACACAAUCGACGACACGCGUCAAGCACUACACGUGAAGGACUUACUACGUACGCACUACACGCUAAAUGACGGAGGCAGCCUCUACUUAGCCGGCACACUUUAAAGGCACACGAGAUUUACUCGUGGCAUACCAUACCACUCUACGACACACACAAAAUUCAUACGACCGUUGAACCUCUAGGAAAACAUCCCACACUGAUCCAGAGUCAGCUGACUCUAAAUUGGUUCAUUCAGAGUCAGUUCACUGUAUUGUACGAUCUCUCUUUUUCUUUUUGAUUUUACUUUUAAAACGUGCCUAGAGUUACAUUCUAGAUUGCCUAUAUCGUAGCUAGCUCUGAAUUACUUCAGAGUCGG
RNAcentral lists this ribosomal RNA (2234 nucleotides) under Triticum aestivum (bread wheat). RNAcentral describes it as "partial small subunit ribosomal RNA". The record is from RNAcentral. Lineage: Eukaryota; Viridiplantae; Streptophyta; Magnoliopsida; Poales; Poaceae.